CUGUCUUUUGCUUAUUAUUUUGUCCCAGCACCUAGCACACAGUACCUGAUACCUAGUAGGCACUUAAUAAAUAUCCAUUAAAUCUAUUCAUAUUUCCCCAGUCCCCUUACUUUACUCCUUUUUCUGCAUCUAUCCCUUUAUUGAACCCCUACACUUCCCAGCUCCUCCAUUAACCCCUGCAGAGUAUUCACUGACUGCUGGAACUACGGCAUCACUGAGAAGCAAGAGAUGGACUGACCUGAUAGAGGGAGAGCUGCCCCCUCCAGGAUGAUGCCACCAUCACAGGAGAACUUGGGCCAAGAGGUUCACUUAUUUGCUUAAAGUAUUAUCACCAGCACACUAAUAUUUUGAAAGGAGGAAUGAAUGACUUAAUGAAUGAACUGCAUGGUCUUCCUGAAGAUUAUGGUGUAAUACUAUCAAAGGUAUUGCCACUCAUUAUUGUUUUUAUCCCAAGUAAAUUCUGAAAAAAAGAAAAACCUUCACGACAUAACAACAUGGUAAGUCAAUUUAAAAUAUCAGUCAAAUUUCUUUAACAUUAUGACACUAUUUUGGUGUACUGAGUAAAUCUCAUAAAUCUCUCAUAAACCCUUCAGGCUUUAGGCAUUGGUUAAAUACUAUGUUUGUAAGGAUCUAUAGAUUCAUAACAGAAACUUGGGACUCUCAAAGGGAACCAAAGCAUCUGUCUUUCAAUUACAAUUCAUGCUGAUUAACCCACUCCAUAUUUAAGAAGGAAGCUGCAUGCCCUACUCGAAGGGAAAUGAGGAAAAAAAAUUCUCUACUAUAACUGUCCGACUCUAUCUUCAGCAGGAGC
RNAcentral lists this long non-coding RNA (811 nucleotides) under Macaca mulatta (Rhesus monkey). Its description in RNAcentral is "lncRNA (ENSMMUG00000063617.1)". Lineage: Eukaryota; Metazoa; Chordata; Mammalia; Primates; Cercopithecidae. The record is from RNAcentral.